This is a long non-coding RNA of Vidua chalybeata, 432 nucleotides long. RefSeq lists it as uncharacterized. The transcript has 3 exons. The record is from RefSeq and is a predicted model, not a curated record. Lineage: Eukaryota; Metazoa; Chordata; Aves; Passeriformes; Viduidae.
GGACGCUGCGAUGUGUCUCCGGUCACACCCCAGCCGUGGCAUUUGGAAGGGAUGCCAUGGAGCUCAGGGAGCAUUUGCCGUUGCCUUGUCUUUGCUCGCAUAGGCGAGGAAAGUCUCCCCAUGAGGGGAGCAGCUGUGACGCACGCCCGGAUUUAUGUUCGCAGGGAAUAUCCGUGGGGAAACACAAGUUGUAAAUGUCUAAUUCUUCGGCUUAGUAACGGAAACUGAGGAAAUGACAUGUCUUUGAGUGAUUUGGACUGUUUCCAGAUAAAUUCUUCCACCGUGUGCUAUGAAGAAGAAAAAACUGUAAGAACUAAAGGCCUAGAGACCAUUUUCAAUUACCUUGCAGCAAUACGAGGUCUGUUGGACAACUGGAUGACUACAGCUUCUAGGAAAAAGAAAAAUAAACGGAGUGACUAAUGACUAGUUCAU